RNAcentral lists this unclassified non-coding RNA (215 nucleotides) under Hevea brasiliensis (rubber tree). Lineage: Eukaryota; Viridiplantae; Streptophyta; Magnoliopsida; Malpighiales; Euphorbiaceae. The record is from RNAcentral.
GGUAGAAGAUCUUACAGUGCUCAAUCUGCGUCAGAUGCUUAUCCAUUUGAUAUCCGCCGGCUAGCCCAGCUCUGAAGAUGGAGAUGGUGAUUAUGGUGGCAUGAUAAUAUGAAGAUUAUAUCCAAUAUUUUUUCUGUGUUCUGCAAUUUGGGUUUUGUGUGCUUAGAAGUGCACAUAUCGAGUCCUGUCUAGCUACUUCAAGCAAGCAAUAACAA